UACGGAGGGUGCAAGCGUUGUCCGGAAUCACUGGGCGUAAAGGGCGCGUAGGCGGCUCAUGAAGGCUGUGGUGAAAGUCCGGGGCUCAACCCUGCGUCGGCCAUGAAUACUGCCGCGGCUGGAGCACUGUAGAGGCAGGCGGAAUUCCGGGUGUAGCGGUGGAAUGCGUAGAGAUCCGGAAGAACACCGGUGGCGAAGGCGGCCUGCUGGGCAGUUGCUGACACUGAGGCGCGACAGCGUGGGGAGCAAACAGG
Molecule: ribosomal RNA, 254 nt
Filed under: uncultured bacterium
Lineage: Bacteria
Description: partial 16S ribosomal RNA
Rfam family: Bacterial small subunit ribosomal RNA
Source: RNAcentral